RNAcentral lists this ribosomal RNA (512 nucleotides) under uncultured bacterium. Its description in RNAcentral is "bacterial SSU rRNA". It matches the Rfam family "Bacterial small subunit ribosomal RNA", at positions 28 to 534 of the family's 1533-position model. The record is from RNAcentral.
GACGAACGCUGGCGGCGUGCUUAACACAUGCAAGUCGAACGGGAUCCAUUUCAUGAAGUUUUCGGAUGGAUUGAGGUGGUGAGAGUGGCGGACGGGCGAGUAACGCGUGAGCAACCUGCCCUUUGCAGGGGGAUAACAUCGGGAAACCGGUGCUAAUACCGCAUAAGACCACAGUGCCGCAUGGUACAGGGGUCAAAGCUGAGGCGGCAAAGGAUGGGCUCGCGUCCAAUUAGCUAGUUGGUGGGGUAAAGGCUCACCAAGGCGACGAUUGGUAGCCGAACUGAGAGGUUGGUCGGCCGCAUUGGGACUGAGACACGGCCCAGACUCCUACGGGAGGCAGCAGUGGGGAAUAUUGCGCAAUGGAGGAAACUCUGACGCAGCAACGCCGCGUGAAGGAAGAAGGCCUUCGGGUUGUAAACGUUACUUUGUAUCGGGGACGGAAGGAAUGACGGUACCCGAGGAACAAGACCACGGCUAACUACGUGCCAGCAGCCGCGGUAAAGUACACGUCG